Molecule: ribosomal RNA, 497 nt
Filed under: uncultured bacterium
Lineage: Bacteria
Description: partial 16S ribosomal RNA
Rfam family: Bacterial small subunit ribosomal RNA
Source: RNAcentral
GAUGAACGCUGGCGGCGUGCCUAAUACAUGCAAGUCGAGCGAACCGACCAGGAGUUUGCUCCUCUGACGGUAUCGGCGGACGGGUGCGUAACAUGUGGAUAACCUACCUAUACGACUGGGAUAACAUUGGGAGACCGGAGCUAAUAACGGAAAAUAUAUUGAACCUCAUGGUUCAAUAGUGAGAUACGGUUUUGGUGUCACUUAUAGACGGACACGGGCCGGAUUAGUUAGUUGGCGAGGUAACGGCUUAGCAAGGCAGCGAUGCGUACCCGACCCGAAAGGGUGGUCGGCCACACGGGAACUGAGACACGGCCGAGACUCCGACGGGAGGAAACAGUAGGGAAUCUUCCGCAAUGGGCGAAAGCCGGACGGAGCAACGCCGCGUGAGUGAUGAAGGUCUUCGGAUCGUAAAACGCUGUAAGUAGUGGAGAACAAAUGUGUAAUUAACUAGGCACAUCUUGACGGUACCUAAUCAAAAAGCCACGGCUAACUACGUG